Molecule: ribosomal RNA, 253 nt
Filed under: uncultured bacterium
Lineage: Bacteria
Description: partial 16S ribosomal RNA
Rfam family: Bacterial small subunit ribosomal RNA
Source: RNAcentral
GACGAACCGUGCGAACGUUGUUCGGAAUCACUGGGCUUAAAGGGCGCGUAGGCGGGCGAUCAAGUCAGGGGUGAAAUCCUCCAGCUUAACUGGAGAAUAGCUUUUGAUACUGGUCGUCUCGAGGGGGGUAGGGGCAUGUGGAACUUCCGGUGGAGCGGUGAAAUGCGUAGAUAUCGGAAGGAACGCCGGUGGCGAAAGCGAUGUGCUGGACCCUUUCUGACGCUGAGGCGCGAAAGCCAGGGGAGCAAACGGG